RNAcentral lists this long non-coding RNA (389 nucleotides) under Eucalyptus grandis. RNAcentral's name for it is "long non-coding RNA (EGRA_LNC000339)". Lineage: Eukaryota; Viridiplantae; Streptophyta; Magnoliopsida; Myrtales; Myrtaceae. The record is from RNAcentral.
GGGGUGUUUGGUUGGGCAUUCCCAAGGGGCUUUGGGCCCCCAAAGCCCCUUGGGGAAAAAUUGUGGUGUUUGGCAAAAUAUUUGAAAGCCCCUUUGCCCAAAUAUGAGCAUUCCGAAGGCUGAAUGCUGAAAGCUGGGGAGGGGCGGCAUUCGGCAUUCGGCAUUCCAGAAAUGCAAAAAUUACUGUUCAUCUUCUUCUCCGGCUCAUCUUCUUCUCCGCUCGGCUCAUCUUCUCCGGCUCAUCUUCUUCUCCGCUCGGCUCAUCUUCUUCCCCGCCGCCUCAGAGUUCGGCUUCUCCGGCAACCACCACCACCGCGGGGGUCGCGCGUCCCCGGUGACCACCGCCCAGGUGGCGCGACCGCGACCUAGGCGGCGUCGCGACCCGCGAC